GAGUUUCAGACGGCCCACUCCUCCUCCUCCCAGGGACGUCUGUAGGAACAGCGGCACUCCUCCUCCCAGUCGCUGUUCGGUUCUUUUCGAAAAGCCUGCCGCACCUCCUCCCGCGGCAGGCUUUUUCG
Molecule: small RNA, 128 nt
Filed under: Rhizobium sp. SG570
Lineage: Bacteria; Pseudomonadati; Pseudomonadota; Alphaproteobacteria; Hyphomicrobiales; Rhizobiaceae
Description: ar14
Rfam family: Alphaproteobacterial ar14
About the family: Smr14C2 was renamed NfeR1 (Nodule Formation Efficiency RNA) highly expressed in salt stress and during the symbiotic interaction on legume roots.
Source: RNAcentral